UAGUAAAUGAAGUUUUUCAAAACAGAGUUACACUGAAAACUAUUGUUUUGAAAAAUAAAUGCAAAUGGCACGCUGUUACAGAACUAUUCUUCGAGGCUCAACGAACGAUUUUCAGAACGAUGAGAGAGACGAAUGAACUUACCUUGAAU
Molecule: long non-coding RNA, 149 nt
Organism: Metopolophium dirhodum (rose-grain aphid)
Lineage: Eukaryota; Metazoa; Arthropoda; Insecta; Hemiptera; Aphididae
Exons: 5
Source: RefSeq, a predicted model, not a curated record